This 271-nucleotide ribosomal RNA is filed under the name uncultured bacterium. RNAcentral's name for it is "partial 16S ribosomal RNA". It matches the Rfam family "Bacterial small subunit ribosomal RNA", at positions 524 to 794 of the family's 1533-position model. The record is from RNAcentral.
UACGAAGGGUGCAAGCGUUAAUCGGAAUUACUGGGCGUAAAGGGCGCGUAGGCGGCGCGGUAAGUCACUUGUGAAAUCUCUGAGCUUAACUCAGAACGGCCAAGUGAUACUGCAGUGCUAGAGUGCAGAAGGGGCAAUCGGAAUUCUUGGUGUAGCGGUGAAAUGCGUAGAUAUCAAGAGGAACACCUGAGGUGAAGACGGGUUGCUGGGCUGACACUGACGCUGAGGCGCGAAAGCCAGGGGAGCAAACGGGAUUAGAUACCCUGGUAGU